Molecule: unclassified non-coding RNA, 245 nt
Filed under: plant metagenome
Description: partial contains small subunit ribosomal RNA, internal transcribed spacer 1, and 5.8S ribosomal RNA
Rfam family: Eukaryotic small subunit ribosomal RNA (bases 1-54)
Source: RNAcentral
GGAAGUAAAAGUCGUGACAAGGUUUCCAUAGGUGAACCUGCGGAAGGAUCAUUAAAGAGAAUAUGCCCUUCGGGGUAGAUCUCCCACCCUUUGUUUAUAUUACCUUUGUUGCUUUGGCAGGCCCGUCUUCGGACCACCGGCUUCGGCUGGUCAGUGCUUGCCAGGGGACCCAAAACUCUUAUUAUUAAUGUCGUCUGAGUACUAUAUAAUAGUUAAAACUUUCAACAACGGAUCUCUUGGUUCUG